UCCUACGGGAGGCAGCAGUAGGGAAUCUUCCACAAUGGGCGAAAGCCUGAUGGAGCAACGCCGCGUGGGUGAAGAAGGUCUUCGGAUCGUAAAACCCUGUUGUUAGAGAAGAAAGUGCGUGAGAGUAACUGUUCACGUUUCGACGGUAUCUAACCAGAAAGCCACGGCCAACUACGUGCCAGCAGCCGCGGUAAUACGUAGGUGGCAAGCGUUAUCCGGAUUUAUUGGUCGUAAAGGGAACGCAGGCGGUCUUUUAUGUCUGAUGUGAAAGCCUUCGGCUUCAACGGAGUAGUGCAUUGG
This 300-nucleotide ribosomal RNA is filed under the name uncultured bacterium. RNAcentral's name for it is "bacterial SSU rRNA". It matches the Rfam family "Bacterial small subunit ribosomal RNA", at positions 337 to 629 of the family's 1533-position model. The record is from RNAcentral.